GAUGAACGCUGGCGGCGUGCCUAAUACAUGCAAGUCGAGCGAACGGACGAGAAGCUUGCUUCUCUGAUGUUAGCGGCGGACGGGUGAGUAACACGUGGAUAACCUACCUAUAAGACUGGGAUAACUUCGGGAAACCGUAGCUAAUACCGGAUAAUAUUUUGAACCGCAUGGUUCAAAAGUGAAAGACGGUCUUGCUGUCACUUAUGGAUGGAUCCGCGCUGCAUUAGCUAGAUGGUAAGGUAACGGCUUACCAAGGCAACGAUGCAUAGCCGACCUGAGAGGGUGAUCGGCCACACUGGAACUGAGACACGGUCCAGACUCCUACGGGAGGCAGCAGUAGGGAAUCUUCCGCAAUGGGCGAAAGCCUGACGGAGCAACGCCGCGUGAGUGAUGAAGGUCUUCGGAUCGUAAAACUCUGUUAUUAGGGAAGAACAUAUGUGUAAGUAACUGUGCACAUCUUGACGGUACCUAAUCAGAAAGCCACGGCUAACUACGUG
RNAcentral lists this ribosomal RNA (497 nucleotides) under uncultured bacterium. RNAcentral's name for it is "partial 16S ribosomal RNA". It matches the Rfam family "Bacterial small subunit ribosomal RNA", at positions 28 to 507 of the family's 1533-position model. The record is from RNAcentral.